This is a long non-coding RNA of Panicum virgatum (switchgrass), 3006 nucleotides long. RefSeq lists it as uncharacterized. The transcript has 4 exons. Lineage: Eukaryota; Viridiplantae; Streptophyta; Magnoliopsida; Poales; Poaceae. The record is from RefSeq and is a predicted model, not a curated record.
UAGGCAAGCUACUAGUGAGUUUAAAGAUUUUGCUAUCAUUUGGUGGACUGAACUAGGUAACCUUCGCUUACAACCUGACACUUGGGAUAGGUUCAAAGAUGCCAUGCGUGAGCGGUUUGUUCCACCAUCCUACCAGCGUGACCUACAUAAGAAAUUGCAAUGUCUAGAAUAGGGUGAUAUGUCUAUUCAAGAAUAUUAUGCUGAGCUUUAGAAGGGUAUGAUAUGUUGUGGGGUAAUGGAGGAAACUGAGGAUAAAAUUUGUCAUUUUUAUGGUGGGCUAUGGUGUGAGAUUCAGGAUAUUAUUGACUAUCAGGAAUAUACAACUGUCAACCGUUUGUUCCAGCUUGCUAUGCUUGCAGAGAAACAAUUGCAGGGACGCCAACAAUCCAGGAUGUACAGCAACAAUAACCGCACCUUUUCACAGCGUACAUCUACGGGACAAGGACGGACAACGCCUUCUACACUGCCACCUUCGACGACAACACCGCCAGGGGCGACUACACCAACACCUUCGCUUACUGCCGGGGGCAGCAGCUAGCCAGCAGCCGCUGCUGCCGCCGCUACCACCGCUUCUAAGAGCGCUGCCACUUCUUCGUUGAUAGAGAUUCGAUAUCACAAGUGCCAAGGGCUGGGCCAUGUCCGGAGGGACUGCUCUAUCAAGAGGACAUACACCACCACCGCUGACGGAGGCUACAUGAGCACCUCCGAUGUUGAGGAUGAGAUCGACGGUACCGGGGCGACCGACACUGAGGGCACUACCUUUGGCGCCGAGGAUACUGCUGCGUACAGGGCCAUCAUCAUCCAGCGUGUCCUUAGUGCACAAAUGGAGCAAGCGGAGCAGCAACAGCGACACAACUUGUUCCAAAUUUUUUCCGUCAUCAAUAACCGGUGAGCCCGCGUGAUCAUUGACUCUGGUAGCUGCAACUAUUUGGUGAGCAUAGAUUUGGUCAAGAAGCUUGGCUUGACCACUCGUCCACACCCACAUCCAUACCACAUGCAGCGGUUGAAUGAUUCCGGACAGGCUAAGGUAACACAAUUAGUUCGGGUUCAUUUUUCUAUAGGUUCAUAUUCUAAUUUUGUUGAUUGCGAUGUGGUACCGAUGCAAGCUUGUUCUUCGUUAUUGAGUCGUCCAUGGGAAUAUGACACUGAUGCACUUCACCAUGGUAGAAGUAAUAAAUAUACUUUUAUGCAUAAGGACAAGAAAAUUACACUUCUACCUUUGACACCUACUGAAAUUGUUCAAUUUGAUAAGGAACAACUAGCAAAUGAUAAGGAUACAUUUAGUCAUCAAUUUGAAAUUAAAUUGCAUAAUCCUGUCAUGCUUACUACAAAAACUGACCUUGCUGCGAAUUCUAAUGAUAUUGCCUUGUGCUUUGCUUUAGUGUGCACAAAUGCUCUGUUUUCUUUGGAUGAUAUACCUUGUACCAUGCCUCCUGCAGUCACUAACCUUUUGCAGGAGUUUACGGAUGUUUUUCACGUCGAGAUACCUCCAGGCUUACCUCCUAUUCGAGGACCAACCCCGAGGAGACGAAGGAAAUUCAGCGCCAAGUCCAAGAUCUUUUGGACUGUGGGAAAUUGAGGUGGAUGAAGCCAAGGUGCAUGAAAUCAAGAGUUGGCCAACGCCCACGAUGCUCCCACAUGUGCAGAGCUUUCUUGGCCUUGCUGGAUUUUAUCACCACUUUGUGAAGGAUUUCAGCAACAUUGCAGCCCCAUUGAAUGAAUUGAUGAAAAAGGGAGUUGUGUUCCAUUGGGCACAAGCACAGGAGUACGCCUUCAACCUUUUGAAAGAUAAGUUAACUAAUGCCCCGCUUCUACAGCUUCCUGAUUUUAGUAGGACUUUUGAGCUUCAAUGUGAUGCUAGUAGUAUUGGUAUUGGUGGUGUUUUGAUGCAAGAUAGUAAACCUGUUGCUUACUUUAGCGAAAAAUUGAGUGGUCCUAUUUUCAAUUAUUCUGCGUAUGAUAAAGAAUUGUACGCUCUUGUUUGAUUUUUAGAAACAUGGCAACAUUAUCUAUGGCCCAAAGAAUUUGUCAUUUAUUCUGAUCAUGAAUCGCUAAAACAUAUUAGGAGUCAAGUAAAACUGAACCGUAGGCAUGUUAAAUUGGUUGAAUUUAUUGAAUCUUUUCCUUAUGUUAUCAAACAUAAGAAAGGGAAAGAUAAUGUGAAUGCUGAUGCCUUGUCUAGGAGAUAUACCAUGUUGUCCCAACUUGAUCAUUGUAUAUUUGGGUUAGAAUCUAUUAAAGAACAAUAUGUUUUUGAUGGCGAUUUUAAAGAUGUCAUGUUGCAUUGUAGAGAGGGAAGAAUUUGGGAUAACUAUGUGGUAAAUGAUGUUUGUGUUUAGAGCUAACCGUCUAUGCAUUCCAGUUGGAUCUGUUCAUCUUCUUUUGAUGCAGGAGGCUCGUGGAGGCAGAUUGAUGGGUCAUUUUGGUGCGAAGAAGACGGAAGCCGUGUUGUCCGCGCAUUUCUUUUGGCCAAAGAUGAGGCGAGAUAUUGAGAGUUCUACAGAUCCUAACAGCAAGCACAUAUGACUGACAUAAGACCACCACAAUAAUUUCAGCCCAUUUGGAGCAGCUGAGGGUUUAUAAUGAUUCCUACAUGUUCUCAGCCAUCAGUUUUUGUCAUUUUCAUAACAGGAGUCAUACAGUAGUAUUAAAUCCCAAAUUUUUACUACAGGCUUAUAUACUUAUAAAGAUUGUACUAUUAAAAUUUCACGCCAUUUGAAGCGAGUAUGUUGGAGAUACAAAAUUAACAAAUAUAAGCAUGUUCAUUUUGUUAUUUUUGCUACAUAAGUUGCAUACAUGAACAAAGGUCAAUUUUUAUACAGUAAAGGGCGUUGAACCAAUCUGGCAUCCAUACAUGGCUACUAGAGUUUUAAUUUUACUAGCACUAACAUUAAUAGGAGCCAUAGAUGAUUUAGCAUAACUGACACUAUGGCCUGUCGAUCCAGAGAAUGUUCUCGGAAGAGCCUUUAGGAGAAAAGAGUUGUCUACUACCUACUUGUAAUGAAA